RNAcentral lists this transfer RNA (74 nucleotides) under Candidatus Melainabacteria bacterium. RNAcentral's name for it is "tRNA-Leu". It matches the Rfam family "tRNA". From Rfam's summary of the family: Transfer RNA (tRNA) molecules are approximately 80 nucleotides in length. Their secondary structure includes four short double-helical elements and three loops (D, anti-codon, and T loops). Further hydrogen bonds mediate the characteristic L-shaped molecular structure. tRNAs have two regions of fundamental functional importance: the anti-codon, which is responsible for specific mRNA codon recognition, and the 3' end, to which the tRNAs corresponding amino acid is attached (by aminoacyl-tRNA synthetases). tRNAs cope with the degeneracy of the genetic code in two manners: having more than one tRNA (with a specific anti-codon) for a particular amino acid; and 'wobble' base-pairing, i.e. permitting non-standard base-pairing at the 3rd anti-codon position. Lineage: Bacteria; Bacillati; Candidatus Melainabacteria. RNAcentral also lists the same sequence under 1 other name. The record is from RNAcentral.
CCCUGAGUAGCACAACUGGCAGAUGCAACUGCUUUAAACGCAGUGGGUUGACGGUUCGAAUCCGUCUUCAGGGA